Molecule: ribosomal RNA, 506 nt
Filed under: uncultured bacterium
Lineage: Bacteria
Description: partial 16S ribosomal RNA
Rfam family: Bacterial small subunit ribosomal RNA
Source: RNAcentral
AGUGAACGCUGGCGGUAGGCCUAACACAUGCAAGUCGAACGGCAGCACAGGAGAGCUUGCUCUCUGGGUGGCGAGUGGCGGACGGGUGAGGAAUACAUCGGAAUCUACUCUGUCGUGAGGGAUAACGUAGGGAAACUUACGCUAAUACCGCAUACGACCUACGGGUGAACGCAGGGGACCUUCGGGCCUUGCGCGAUUGAAUGAGCCGAUGUCGGAUUAGCUAGUUGGCGGGGUAAAGGCCCACCAAGGCGACGAUCCGUAGCUGGUCUGAGAGGAUGAUCAGCCACACUGGAACUGAGACACGGUCCAGACUGCUACGGGAGGCAGCAGUGGGGAAUAUUGGACAAUGGGCGCAAGCCUGAUCCAGCCAUACCGCGUGGGUGAAGAAGGCCUUCGGGUUGUAAAGCCCUUUUGUUGGGAAAGAAAUCCAGCUGGCUAAUACCCGGUUGGGAUGACGGUACCCAAAGAAUAAGCACCGGCUAACUUCGUGCCAGCCGCCGCCGUAA